Myotis lucifugus (little brown bat) is the source of this 59-nucleotide non-coding RNA. Lineage: Eukaryota; Metazoa; Chordata; Mammalia; Chiroptera; Vespertilionidae. The record is from Rfam.
UCCCUCAGCCCGGAUUGCGAGAGGGUGCAGGCCAGGCCGAGAGACCCCACCAGUGCACA